CUAAUGAGGCGAGCCUUGGCAUCCUUCUUCUACACAAGAUAUUUGAUAAAUGCAUGGUCAGUGUACACAAUGACAUGUGAGCCUAUCAAGUAGGGCCGGAACUUUUCUAAUGCAAAUACAACAGCUAUAAAUUCUUUUUCAGUAGUGGUAUAAUUAAGUUGUGCAUCAUCUAGAGCCCUACUUGCAUAAUAAAUGACAUGGGGCACCUUAUUGAAAUCCUUUAACCCAAAACC
This is a long non-coding RNA of Telopea speciosissima, 233 nucleotides long. RefSeq lists it as uncharacterized. NCBI's taxonomy places the organism in Eukaryota, Viridiplantae, Streptophyta, Magnoliopsida, Proteales, Proteaceae. The transcript has 3 exons. The record is from RefSeq and is a predicted model, not a curated record.